AUAACCAAAAGGGUGAAAGAUUGUUAGCUAAAACACCCCAAUGGUGGCCGGCCCUUUGAUGUGUUAGAGAGCUUUUUCUUUUGCCUCUUUGUUGUUUAAACACUUCAAAAAACCCUAAUGAACUUUAUCACUAUAAAGUUCCUUAUAUAGACAAAAGAAAACCUAGUCAACACUUGACUAAAUAUCUCUCCUUCCCCACAUAAUAUGGCCGGCCCUCUUUGUGUUGUUUGGGCUUUGGGCUUUCAUUUAUUUCAAGUCAUCCAAUGCUUGAAUAAAAGCCCAAUGGGUUUAGGCCCAAUGGGCCCAAUUAAACCCGAACGUUUCUUUAAGCCCAAAACGAUCUUUAUCGCUUUUAUGAUUUCUUUAGACUUUUCUAAAUUAAUCACAACACAUAAUUAAUCCAAUUAAUUGUUUCCAUCAUCCAUUAGUUACUCACCACAAUAUUGUUUUGGUGAACAAUCUUUUAGGUUCUAAUUAGCAAGGCAGUGAGGUGAUUGACAUCAAUCCAAUUGCUUAUAUUUAAUUCAAUCACUUAGUGAAUUAAAACUUCAUUUUAAUUCACCUUUCUUCUUUGACGACUACAUUUAAUCAUCUAGAAGAACUCACAAGCUAUGAGUGACAUCUAACCAUAUGUCAUAGCUACCCAAGCUAAUGUAGAAGUUUAUUCGAAGAACCUAGUCAGUUGGAAUUACAAUGUAAUUCAAUCCUUCUCUAAUACAAUACUCUCAAUCACAUCAUUAGGGUAUGGAUAUAUCAUGUCAAACCCCUAAUGUGAUUAUUCCUUCAUAUAUGAUUCAUUUGAGUCGUAUAGGAAUUCUUUCCAUUCAAUACGCUCGAUACUUCGGCCGAAGAUUCCCGAAUCAUAUCUUAGAGUAUUCUUCCUCUCUUAUCGAGGAUUAGAGAUUCCUUGUUGCGCAUACACUUGCCUUCAUGACUAAGUGGCUUAACCCCAAUUAUGCCGUGGACACCCUCGAAUGGGGAGACUUUGACAUAAUCAAAGAUUAAGUACUUAACCACAAGACAACGACGAUGCCUCAGGUCUAAGGAUUACUUACAUCUUUCCAACCAUUAGAGUUACUUGCUUGAUACGUGAGUAGACCUCCAUGCAAGUACACUCGUUCGAUUGUGUUCAGCGAACUUAUUCCCCUAAUGAGCACCUACAUACUUGUCUUAGUGUCACAACACGAAUGGGAUGAGACUUUCCAUCCUUCCAAUUGAAGCAGACAUAGUAUGUACCGGUCUACGCAUUGUCAGUAUCCCUCCGACAAUCCAACGACCAGGAACCUUUUGGACACAAUGGUUAUGUGAAGAAGGUCUCUGUAGUUUAACAUCAUUAGAUUACUUCUUCAAUCGAUCCAUUGUCCAUGGAUACACUAUUUAGGACAUAUAUCGUUAAUUGAGAUAGUCCUAAUUCGUGUCUUUGCCAUUUGAUGUAUAAGAAUCAUCCAUACAUCGAUUCAUUUGUCCUGAAAGAUUUCUUCCAAAGAUUGACUUUCAGGGCAUAUUUCCAACAAUCUCCCACUUGCACUAAAGUCAAUCACUAGUGUAUCUUAUACAUCUUGUUGAGAGAGUUUAUGCUCGUAGGUUAACUUGGUUAUGUAUUAAUCUCUUUUAUAUUUAAAAGGGAUUUACUUAUCAAAUGUUUCCAAGACAUUUGAUGAUGUCUCUUUAAUGUGUUCGAAUACUUUGAUGAGACCUUGAUUCCAUGGCUUGAGCUAUCACCCCAUUACGUCGUAGUACUCUACUAACGACCUUAUGGUUUGAAUUCAAUCAUGGGUUCUAAAAGAACCCCUUUCAUUCAAACAACCUUUUGAAGCAGUUUCUAAAACUAUAUAUCUACAUAUAUUUCGUUUGUAUACUUUAUACAAACUUUGCUCCAAGCUUGAGACCAUUGUAGUACAAUACUAACAAUUCAUUCAUAUGAUUAGUACUUCAUCCAUUAUGAAGUUCCAUUUGUUAAAAUGGCUUAUUUUCACUUUGGUUAACAACCUAAGUGAAUGCACGCUUCUAGAGUCCCACUCUGAUGUUUCUUUCUUAAAGGCAAUAAUACUCUAUCAGUUGCUUUGGUUCUGAUCCUGGGAUAUAGUAAUAUCUUAAAGUGAUAAACCCAGUGGUUUCUUCACCUUUGGAUAUCUACUUCACAAGUCAAUACAUGUGUCCUUUUUGUGAUUUUAUGACACAUUCAUUAUAAGGGUUAUGAAAGUGAUUUCCUAUCCCAUAGGAAAAUGCUUUCUUAAAUCUUCAACAUUUGAGAUUUAAUUCCCAUAUAACAUUAUUGAGAUAGCCUUGCUAUAUCAGUAAGUCCAAUCUCAAGUCUAUACUUCAAAAUUGACCAUGUCAUGUUUUGUCAUUUUUCGAGUAACAUCUAUGCUUCAUCAAGUCUAUCAAAUAGACUUUAUUCACAUCUUGUUGCUCAAAUUAUGACAUCACUCCCACUGGCCUUGUUGUAACUUAGCAUUCAUUCAAAAUUAACAAUUAUAUUUUCUUGAUUUGAAUGCAUAUUGCUCCCACUUAAUUUAAAUGAAUCAUACAUAAAAGAAUUCCUUCUCAAGCAAUUCCAUGAAAUGUGUGACUUGCUUUAUCAAAUCUAUUCAUUUAAAUUAUAUGGUGUCAUACACCAUACUUCAAGUUUUAGUCAUACUAAGACCUUUAAUGUAGUCAUAUAAGAAUUAUCUAAGUCUUUAGUGGAAGCAUGGCUCCUACUAAGGAUAUAGAAACUCAACCAUUCCUUCUAGGUGGUUGAUAUAAUUCUUUAUCAAAACUACAUAGAGCAAUAUCGUUACAUGAGAUGUUGAAUUUGGAUUGUCUUGUUGUUAAACCAUAUGCUGUGACUCAUUUUGAAACUUAUUCCCUUUUGUUUCAUCAACUUGUCCAUAUGCUUUGUUAUUAGCAUGUUCUCUUAAAAGAGAAUGAUGGACAACUCCCAACAUAUAACCAUUUUAUGCUAGGUUGACGAAACCAACAUUCAAAGACUAUUCUUUAAAUGUUACACAACAUAGAAUUUUAACUUUUGAAGAGCUUGAGUCCUUUUAACAAUUAAAAUUACAAACUCUUAAUAAUAGUCAAGUACUAUUAUUCUUUAGACAACUAUAAACCAAUCACAUUCAAGUUUAUAUCCAUUUUCACACCUCCCACUAUUUCUCAUGACUUUAAUGAGAAAUCAUUUCAUACAUUCAAAAUGUAUAAAAGUGGAUUAUAUUGGUAGAAGACAUUGUGUAGUAGCUUUGAAACAUUUCAAGCUUAUUUGUUUCAAUCUUCACUAAGUUUAAUGUCUUGUUAUUUAAGUGACUAAAGUCUUUAAACCUUUUAUAGAUUUAGACACUUCUUUCUUGGUUUAAUCACUAACACAUUUGACAUUUUAAAACAAUUUUAAGAAUGCCCAAUUAAUUGUUCAAAACUACUAAUUGAAUCAAGAGUGAUCUUGAUCAUUGUGUUUCAAGUGAUAACCAUAUAAGAAACGUUUUUCUUAUUACUUAUAUCAUUAUAAUGUGAUCUUCCUUUUCUUCAAGAAAUGAUUCUCUAGACUUUUGUCAAUUCAUAUAGAACUCAUAAGUAGACAAAUGGAACCAAAUCUAAAGAUUCAUUGUAUCCUUUUAUGUCCUACAUGUGAGAUCUAUCCAUAAUUGAUAAAUCUAAAGUUUGGUUUAUCACAUUACAAUUAAGUGAUAUAACUCUUGUAUCUCAUCUAGGAUACAACAAGACAAUUUUCAAUUCAUAACACUACUUUAAGGAAAUAGUAUAUUAAAAAGGCAUACUUCACAUUACAUUAAUAUGAUAGUUCAAACAUUCAUAAUGUUUAAUACAAAAAGUAUUAGCUCUAUACAUUUAGAGACUAAUAUAAAUACCUUUAUACAUUUAGGCACUAUAUAGUGGUCUUCCAUCACAUGAAGCCACAUAAUAAGUUCUUAUCAAAAUAAGAAAGUUUAAAGACAAUCUUUAAUGCCUAACAAACUUCCUAAGUAGUGAGCAAAAACAUAGUGCCCGAACCCUUCACCGCAUUUUCUUUGCUUGUUCUUCUUCUACUUGGCUUCUCCACCUAUAUACAAUUAUACAAGUGAUUAGCUCUUUAUAUCAAAUAUAAAUAUUUAGAAGAUCUAACAUUUAGAAUUGAAGAUAAGGACAUAAACCAUACCUUGUGGCUUGUCCUUAAGACUUGCAAGGUAUAACUUGCAAUUCCUUCUCCAAUGCCCCUCCUUUCCACAGUGGUGGCAAGUCCCUUUGGGCUCCUUUGCCUUCUUUUUCCUCACUCCUCCUUUCAGCUUAGGAGUGGGUGACUUCUUCUCCUUCCCUUUGCCUUUGCCUUGCGGCAUGGCCUUGGAAGAGGAUGGCUUGUUGUAGGCUACUGCAGCAGUCCCUACACCGCUCUCUUUCUUCAUAGUCUUCUCAGCAGUUACUAACAUGUUUAGUAACUCAGAGAGAGUACUAUCCAUCUUAUUCAUAUUGUAGUUCAUUACAAACUGAGCAAAUGAAUCAGAAAGAGAAGCCAAUACGAAGUCUUGGGCCAAUUCCCCGUCAAGUGGAGUUCCAAGGUUCUCCAAUUGUUCAAUGAAUCCUAUCAUCUUCAGUACAUGUUGGUGUACUGGAGCCCCCUUGACCAUCUUGGUCUUUACAAGUUCACAAACAGUGCUAAAGCGACGGUUGCGCGUCCCUUCGCCAUAUAACUCCGUAAGAUGGAGUAGUAUGGAAAAUGCACUAUCCAUGCCCUCGUGUUGUCUCUGUAGCUCCUCAUUCAUGGAAGCCAACAGAUAGCACUUGGCUUGUAUAUCAUCCUCAACGUGCUUGUCAUACUUAGCACGUUCAUCCUCAGUAGCCUCAGGGCUAAGAGGUAUGUGAGGUGGAGGCUUAUCUAGUACGUAAACAAUCUUCUCCAAUGUUAGGAGAAUCUUGACAUUACGAUACCAUGAUGGGAAAUUGUGCCCCUCUAGGCAAUGUUUGUCGAGUAUUUUCGCGAGUGUGCUUCCAACCAUAUCUAUAUACAUAAACAAAUAAAAUAAUUAGAUUGAUUGUUGUUUAAGUCAAACGAUUCGGGUCUUUAAACCGAAUGACACCACCCACCAUUUUUGGCAAAUUGCAUAUCCCCCAUAAUGGAAUCCGGGAGAUUUCAAAGAAAGCUCCUAGCGGGUUAUGGGAGGCUCACUAUUACCAAGCCCACCUCACGAUGAUACGAUGUUUGGCUAGCAACAAUAAUAAUGAGAGGGUACAAUUACCCAUUCACAACAAGCUCUUGUGAUUACCCAUCCUUUUGGCCUCUAGAAAAUAAUACCUCACGAUGAUACGAUGUUGGCAUUAUGUUUCUUAGUUAAGUUCUUUCCCAUCAUGCCGGUUUAGCUAGGGGUUCAAGCAUGACCUCACGAUGAUACGAUGUUGGCCAUACUCGUUGCCUACCUUAACCUCAUCAAUUUUUUUAAAUAAACUCCUCCUGAAUAUAAGCAUGCACUUUGUCACUUCCCCAUGAUAGGGUGAAGGCGGUGUACAAGUCAUAAACGCUUGGAGCCUACCACGGUGGAAGGCCACGAAAACGUGUUCUAAGCACUCUUACGCUUUCAACUUAAUAUUUGUUUGGUUGAGGGAUUUUAAGGUCUCAUCAAUUUUAUUUAUUUAAUCACAAUCAAAUAAAUAAUGUCCUAUUACAACUACUAGUCCAAAGUUAAUGAAAUUAGUAGCAUAUGAUAUCCCCACUAUUCGUUUUCAUAAAACAAAUCAAUAUCAAAACAUUUUUCAAAAUAUUGGAGAUAUAUAUAACUACUAAUUGUAUUCACUAUAAUUUAGUAGCGUAUGAUACUCCCACUAUUUGUUUUGAGAAAAACAAAUCAAUAUAAAAAAAACGAAUUUUUCAAAUAUUGGAAGUAACUACUACUACUAAGGUUUUUGCAUUCCUUUGAAAUUGGACUUUAUAGUUAUCUUAGGUUCUUGGAUGACUAUGGACUUAAUAGGUUAUUGCAACAACGAGCCAUCAUUGUUGAAUAUAAACUCGGGGAGGUUGUGUCAAUUUAAUUACGUGCUUAUCAAUCCAAUUAAAACCAUUUUCAUUGAGCCAUUAGAAAUGAAAGACAAUCAUUCAUUGCUAAUUUGGGUAUUGGACCCUUUUAAUCUUUAAUCUCAUGUAAAAACCCUCUUUUAGUUAUGUCUCCUUUACCAAUAGUUAAAGAAACUCUAGUCUAGCACUAGAGGGAAUCCACUAACGAAUAGAGAUUAAGAAGUAAUAAGAAUUACAAACCGAUUUGUACAAAUUCCUAUAAUUACAUAUACUAAAAAGGGGAGAGAAAGAUUAACGUCAAACGUGACAAGGUCCAAUUAAACAGUAAUUAAAACACAUUCCCAAGGUUCAAACAAUUUGAUUUUAGCGCCUUAUCAUAUAGCUCAAUUAUCGUUUAAGGCAUAAGUCCAAAGUCAUCCAUUUCAUAACUACUUAAACACAUUUAAAUAAUCAUAAAGGAAUGCAACAUAAACAUUUAGAUUUAGUGCAUAUGGGCAUAAUAGUAUUAUGAGUUUAAACAACUAACAAAAUUAAAAUCAAAUAUUUUAACUUUCUAGUUAGUAGGGGCCUAAAUGUAAAUAUGAAAAGUUAGGGGUAAAACCGUAAAUAUUUCAAAGUAAAUAUCAACUUUUCAAAGAUUACAAAAUAGCCCCACAAGUGGAUAAAUCCACUAGGGAGGCCGGCCACUUAAUGGGGGAAUGGGAAGUCUCACCCACAUGCUUUAAUUCAAUGCAAAGUAGAAAAAUCAAAAUUUUGCUUGUCACUUGGUUUUGGCAUUUAAAACUUAGGUGAAAAGGUUUGAUGGAAAUCUCCUAGUCAAGUCCAGGGUUUUAUAAGUAUAUGAUAUGGUUAUGGAUGGUAUGAACAUCACCCAAAACCACAAAACAAUGCAUUAAAACCAUUUUCAUCAAAAACCAAACUAUGAACACCAAGAACAAAACCAUGAACACUUUUUCAAGAUUUGUGUAUUCUUGGUGAUUUUUCAAACCCAAAAACAAAAGUGACAAGGUUUAUUCUUUCUAGCUUUAAAAGGAUGUGAGAGUGGUUUACAAUAAAACACAAACACAACCCAAAACCACCCCCAAAACCGUGCCAUCCCUUUGGUUCAAAACCCCAAAUUUUGUUCAUGACUUAUUCUUCAUUCAUGCAUCUAAAACACCCUUUUACAUGCAUAUCUUUUUCAACUCUUGAUCUUAUAUUUUUCAACCAUUGAAAAACAAAAGAUAAACAUACUUUAAAAUGAAGAAAUAAUAUGUCAAACUAGUUUUAAACUCAUUUUUCAUUCAUGCAUACAAAACAUCUUUUGCAUCCAUACCUUUCUUAACUAUUGACUAACAUUUUUCAACUAUUGAAAAACAAAAGAUAAACAUACUUUGAAUGAAACAAUAAUAUGUCAUACAUAACAUUAAUACCCAUAUGCAUAAAAUCCAAAAGGACACAUUAUACAUAAACCUUUGGCUCUGAUACCACUUGAAGGGAAAUCUAUGAGAUUCAUGUAUGGGAUUUCUAAAUGACUAUCAUGCAUAUCCAAAACAAUUAUGAUAUACGAAAGCAGCGGAAGCAUUUAUAACAUAUUAUCAAAGCUAUAGUCAUGCAAAUCCCCUUCAAGGUUCAUAGGUUUAUAUAUAAUGCAUCAAAACAAAUUAUAGAAUCAAGAACAAAGUGAAGGUUAGUCUUAUACCUCUUGAUCUAGACUUGAGACCAAGGAUGGACCACCUCCAAGCCCUUUGCUCCUUGAAAUCCUUGAGCCUAGCUUCCCUGCUUGCCUUCUCCACUUUGAAAGAAUGAGUGCUCCUAGGUUCUCUUCAAGUUUCCAAAGUAGGAAACCUCUAAAGAUCCUCACCCACUAGUGUAGUGAGAAGGAUGAAGGAAUAACCAAAAGGGUGAAGAUUGUUAGCUAAAACACCCCAAUGGUGGCCGGCCCUUGAUGUGUUAGGGAGCUUUUUCUUUUGCCUCUUUGUUGUUUUAAACACUUCAAAAAACCCUAAUGAACUUUAUCACUAUAAAGUUCCUUAUAUAGACAAAAAAAACCUAGUCAACACUUGACUAAAUAUCUCUGCUUCCCCACAUAAUAUGGCCGG
This 8058-nucleotide long non-coding RNA is filed under the name Malus domestica (apple). RNAcentral describes it as "long non-coding RNA (MDOM_LNC008415)". Lineage: Eukaryota; Viridiplantae; Streptophyta; Magnoliopsida; Rosales; Rosaceae. The record is from RNAcentral.